UAAGAAUCUUCCGCAAUGGACGAAAGUCUGACGGAGCGACGCCGCGUGGAUGAUGAAGGCCGAAAGGUUGUAAAAUCCUUUUCUCAAUGAAGAAUAAAGCAGGGAGGAAAUGCCCUGCAGAUGACAUUAGUUGAGGAAUAAGCCCCGGCUAAUUACGUGCCAGCAGCCGCGGUAACACGUAUGGGGCAAGCGUUGUUCGGAAUCAUUGGGCGUAAAGGGUGCGCAGGCUGUGCUGUAAGUCAGGUGUUAAAGGUUGGAGCUCAACUCCAACAUGCCGCUUGAAACUGCAGUACUAGAGUUCUAGAGGGGAAGCUGGAAUUCCUGGUGUAGGGGUGAAAUCUGUAGAUAUCAGGAAGAACACCGGUGGCGAAGGCGAGCUUCUGGCUAUGAACUGACGCUGAGGCACGAAAGUAUGGGGAGCAAAC
RNAcentral lists this ribosomal RNA (425 nucleotides) under uncultured bacterium. RNAcentral's name for it is "bacterial SSU rRNA". It matches the Rfam family "Bacterial small subunit ribosomal RNA", at positions 356 to 773 of the family's 1533-position model. The record is from RNAcentral.